UACGUAGGGGGCAAGCGUUGUCCGGAUUUACUGGGCGUAAAGCGCGUGUAGGCGGCUACGCAGGUCCGUUGUGAAAACUGGAGGCUCAACCUCCAGACGUCGACGGAAACCGUGUGGCUAGAGUCCGGAAGAGGAGAGUGGAAUUCCUGGUGUAGCGGUGAAAUGCGCAGAUAUCAGGAAGAACACCAAUGGCGAAGGCAGCUCUCUGGGACGGUACUGACGCUGAGACGCGAAAGCGUGGGGAGCGAACAGG
Molecule: ribosomal RNA, 253 nt
Filed under: uncultured bacterium
Lineage: Bacteria
Description: partial 16S ribosomal RNA
Rfam family: Bacterial small subunit ribosomal RNA
Source: RNAcentral